CGAUAGACUAUCUUAGUAUCGGACUUCUCCGUGGGAGCUUCUGUGGAACAGUAAGCUUCUCAGCAGCAGCAGCAGAUGCAGUGCAGGAGCAUCGUCAAGUGUUGAGAGCAAACGCCUGCCUGCCUUUAAUUCUCUACCCCAGUUUUUAGACACAGGCACACCUCAGAGACAUUGCAAGUUCGGUUCCAGACCACAGCAUUAAACCAUGUAUCACAACAAAGUAAGUCACGUGAAUUUUUUUGUUUCCCAGUGCAUAUUAAAGUUACAUUUAC
This is a non-coding RNA of Vicugna pacos (alpaca), 272 nucleotides long. The record is from RefSeq and is a predicted model, not a curated record. Lineage: Eukaryota; Metazoa; Chordata; Mammalia; Artiodactyla; Camelidae.